AUUGAACGCUGGCGGCAGGCUUAACACAUGCAAGUCGAGCGGGGUGAUGGUGCUUGCACUAUCACUUAGCGGCGGACGGGUGAGUAAUGCUUAGGAAUCUGCCUAUUAGUGGGGGACAACAUCUCGAAAGGGAUGCUAAUACCGCAUACGUCCUACGGGAGAAAGCAGGGGAUCACUUGUGACCUUGCGCUAAUAGAUGAGCCUAAGUCGGAUUAGCUAGUUGGUGGGGUAAAGGCCUACCAAGGCGACGAUCUGUAGCGGGUCUGAGAGGAUGGUCAGCCACACUGGGACAGAGAACCGGCCCAGACUCCUACGGGAGGCAGCAGUGGGGAAUAGUGGACAAUGGGGGGAAACCUGAUCCAGCCAUGCCGCGUGUGUGAAGAAGGCCUUAUGGUUGUAAAGCACUUUAAGCGAGGAGGAGGCUCUUUUGGUUAAUACCCAAGAUGAGUGGACGUUACUCGCAGAAUAAGCACCGGCUAACUCUGUGCCAGCAGCCGCCGUAA
Molecule: ribosomal RNA, 503 nt
Filed under: uncultured bacterium
Lineage: Bacteria
Description: partial 16S ribosomal RNA
Rfam family: Bacterial small subunit ribosomal RNA
Source: RNAcentral